This is a long non-coding RNA of Dermochelys coriacea (leatherback sea turtle), 151 nucleotides long. RefSeq lists it as uncharacterized. The transcript has 3 exons. NCBI's taxonomy places the organism in Eukaryota, Metazoa, Chordata, Testudines, Dermochelyidae. The record is from RefSeq and is a predicted model, not a curated record.
UGUGACCCUCCCCUCUGCCCCCCGAACUGGGCCAGGUCCAUGAGACCCCCCACCCUUCCCCAAACCGGGCCAGGUCCCUGUGACCUCCACCCUGAACUGGGCCAGGUCUGUGUGCCCCCCCCACCUCCCAGCUCAACCGGGCCAGGUCUGU